UAAUCCAAAACAUCAUGGGGUGCCGGCUGUUUGGUGCCAACAUACGUCACGUUCGUGCAAUGCCAUUCCCAAACAAGAUAAGCAUGAAGGACAGUACUCAUAGGCAGAGUUUUCACCCCCCCUCUCCUGACCCUCUAACUAAAAUCACCCAGUGCUUCCAGAAGUUGUCCUUGUCCCAAACGGGGGCACAACAACUCCCACCCCCCCCUCGCACUCACCCUCUCCUUUCUCACUGAAACGUGUCUGACAGAAGAUUGUAAUGCUCCUAUUCUUAACGAGACAGCACCUGAAAUUUGGCUAUAUGAAUAUGUGUCGAAAUGGUAGGAAAGGAGGAGGAGUGGCUGCCCUAUUCAAAGAUACAUUCCAGUGCAAAGAAAGUACACUAGGUAAUUUUAUUUAUUUUGAAUACCUCUGUUUUACAUUGAAGGUUACGCACAAUUUUGUUUUUAACCAUUUACUGAUUUUGCUGAACUACUCUGUUAUAUCAGUUGAUUAUAACUUGUUUAUUAUUCCAGGGGAUUGUUGCCACCACUAAGCGGCAACCGUCCUGGCGCCGGGACACCAAACGUUUAUGCCACGAAGUGUGCAAGUUGUUGUACAUUUUUUUUUUGUUAUAGGCAUAUAUGUGCAGAAAGCUUAGAAUCUCAUUAAUCUAACUGCAGUACACAAUUUAAAGUAGCUUUUACGGCGACUAACUCCUAUGCAAGUGUUUGAGUAUAGUCAACAUCCACAAAAAUGGCACCAGGGUCGCUAGAGUCUCUAGCAAAAGUCUCCUAGAAGAAACAUUUCAACAUCUUAAAGCUUUCACUUGCUGUCUCGUCACACUGCCAUCAGACUUUUUAAAGAAUUUUUUUUACUCGAUAACAAUGGACCUACAACAAAUAGUUAAUAGCUCUCUACAAUCAGCCAUUAAACCCCUAUUAAGAAAUUAGGGAAUUAAUCCUGCUGGAGGAAUUCAAAAACCACCUUACUGACCGUAUUGUUGUUCUUUUAAAUGAAAAGAAGGUGGCGACGUUGACCCAGGCAGAUUAGUAUUCUGAUGAAACCCUAAUAACUAGAAAAGUACAUUUCCUGAAGAAUGUGGUGUGCUUGCUAGCGGUUUAAAAAGUGUUCAUGGUUUGAAAUAGUGUUUACCUAUCGAAAGGUUUGGAGUCCGUAUAUUUAAAGGUUCAAGAGAUGGGGUUGAUGAGUGUAAUUAGCAUAAAUUAACAUACAUGACAAUUAAACCUCAAAAGUUUUACCAAUUGCAGAUUUCGUGUCUGUAGCUCGAACAGUUCAAAUAAUGCAGCCUAGUAGUUAACACUAUUUACGAUAAUUAGCAUAUGUAAAAUCGAUAACCGUUUCAUAAUUUCCAGUGGGGAUAGCUUAAACGUGUGAAACAAAGUUGGUUUUGUUUGGUUGGUUUUGAACCUCAAAAGGUUCAAAAUAUACAGCUUAAUUGCUAAUUUGAUGCUAAUUUUGCUAAUUAGCAUAUGUAAAAUCAAUAAAGGUUUCUUUAUGUAAACUGGGGAUAGCCUUAACUGGUGAAACCAGUCUGUUUUGUGUCUGCUGCUUGAGCGGUUCAAAAGUUUCAGCCUAGUAGUUAAUUUAUUCUAAUUACGCAAAUGUGCAUAUGUAAAAUCAAAUAACUUUUCCUAAUUUGAAGGAGGGAGAGCCUAAACCGGUGUAACAAAGUUGGUUUUGUGUCUGCAGCUCGAACGAUUCAGAAGAUACAGCCUAGUAGUUAAUUAAUGCUAAUCACGCAAAUUAGCAUACGCAAAAUUGAUAUACGUUUCCAAGUUUGAAGUAGGGAUAGCCUAAACUGGUGUAACAAAGUUGGUUUCGUGACUGCAGUUUGAACGGUUUAAAAGAUACAGCCUUAUACUAAAUUAACAGUAAUCACGCAAAUUAGCAUAUGUAAAAUCAAUUAACAUUUCAUAAUUUGCAGUGGGGAAAGCCAAAUGUGUGAAACAGAGUUGGUUUCAUGUCUGUAACUCAAACGGUUGAAAUAAAAUACAGCCUAAUUGCUAUUUCAUGCUAAUUAAGCUAAUUAACAUAUGUAAAAAUAGAUAACAAUUUCUUAAAUUGCAGUGGGGAUUCCCGAAACUGGUGUAAACAAGUUGGUUUCAUGUCUGUAGCUCAAACAGUUCAAAAGAUACAGCCUAGUAGUUAGUUUAUGCUAAAUAUGCAAAUUAGCAUAUGUAAAAAUCGAUAAACGUGUCCUAAUUUGAAGUAGGGAUUGACUAAACUGGUGCAAAAAAAAUAGUUUUGUGUCUUUAGCUUGAACGGUUCAGAAGAUAUAGCCUAAUUGCUAAUUCAUACUAAUAACACAGAUUAGCAUACGUUGAAUCGAUAAACGUUUCAUAUUUGAAGUAGGGAUAACUUAAACGGGUGUAAAAAAGUUGGUUUCGUGUCUUUUGCUCAAACGGUUCAAAAGAUACAGCCUAAUCGCUAAUUAAUGCUAAUUAUGUAAAUUUGCAUAAUAAAUCGAUAAACGUUUCCUAAUUUGAGGUACACUAAAAUAAUUGACUGUAGAUUUACUUUCACAGUAAGUGACUGUAUGUACAUUUACAGUAAAUUACUGGGAACUAGUUACACAGUUUCACAGUAAGUUACAGUGCAUUAUAGUAAAAUGACAGCUGUAUACUGUGACCUCACAGUAUUUAUGCAAGUAGAUUACUGUCAUUUAGCGGUAUGCUGCUGUAGAAUUACGAAAUUGUCAUUGUAAUGCAAUGUGCUGUAAAUUUAAUACUGUAGAUUUGACCUUUUCACAAUUUCUAUCUGUUCAAUAAACCCAUCAAUAACCUAAAUCUUUGAAAAAUGUGUUAAAUUCAAAUAAACACAAAAACAUGAUACAUUUUUUUAGCAGUUUUAUAUAAACUUUGCAGGACAGUGCAACUACUGCAUUCAUGUUUGUGUCAAUUUCAUUUAGAACCUUUAUACAUCAUAUUCUUAAAACAUUUAGAAGUUGAAGCUAUUUAAAGAUGUUACUUUGGGCUCUAGGAAAUAGUAAUUUCUCAAAAAUGUUUACAUUUUGUAGACUAAACAAUCAAUUGAUUAAUAGAGCAGAUAAACUGGUAAAUAAAGCUGCAAAUGGUUCAUGCUUUGGUACUAAAUAAAAUAAACGUUAGCUGCAGGCCUACUUUAUACAUCAGUUGGCGGCAAUAUACAUAAAAUAGAAUUUUAAAGACAUUUUUCACCUCCAGUUUCACAAAUUAAUUCAAUAAAACGGAAGAGUGAAAUAUUAAAAACACACUUAUAAAACAGUAAACCUUUAACUUAUGCUGUAUGCAUGUCUUGCUUUUCACAGUUACUACAUUGACAUCCACUCAAAGUCAAUUACUUUCCUGAUUAGUGUACACACUUGCUGGUUGAUUUGUCCUCCCUGUUGCUUUGAUUUUGUGCCGUCUCUGAAUUAAUGCCCAAAAAGCACCUAUAAACCAAAACACAGGAGGAAAGUCAUAAGUUUCAUUCAAGUGGGUUUUCCCAAACAGUUUGGACAAUUUGACAUUACUGUGGUUUAGUUAAACAGCAAUUAUUUAAAAUAACAGGAACUGAAAACCAUUUCCAUCACAAACACUUCAAACAACAAAGUGCAGGUGUGUGAUUUACCCAGGCAGCAUCCAUGCAGUGGGCUUCAUUAUGUCAGAUAUACUCAUCAUGCCCUACUGAAAAGGAAGUAAUGUUGUGGCGUAGGCAUAUUGCUUUAAAUCACUGUUAAAAACAUCACUUUGCUUUGGCUUUUCCUUCAAGUAAUUAAAGUUCUUAUCCCAGGCGAUUUUAUUAUCAUCAUCAUCAUUAUCAUGUAUGCUAUGAUAUACUCUGUACUCUAAUGUACUUUUACCUUGUAAUUACUGUUUUUUGUUGUACUUUUACCCUGUAAAGAGCCUUGGUCAACCUUGGUAGUGUGCUAUCUAAAUAAAAUUGAUGUUGUAUAUAACAAUACCAUUAUAAUAGCUGCAAUAAAUUCUAAAUGCUGAACCUAUGGGUAAAAGGUAAAUACAGCUGCUUAUAAAAAGAAAAGACCAAGUGAUUUAAUUGGGUUGUGAUAGCAGGUCUGAAUUAUGUUGGCUUCAGGCAGUGAGGCAACCUUUUUUUUAUAUUUAGAAGUUUACAUUAAAUGAGUACAACAUCAUAGUCUGAACCAUGCACAGAGAUAGUUCGCAAUACAGUUUCUGAAGGUGUAAAUGCACCCAUUAUUAGUUUACCAAAAAAAUAACAAUGCUGUCAGUGUCUCUUGCCUUAUAUUUUUAAUUUUACCUAGGGAUGCACUGACCGAUCAGCUGGUAAACAGAAUCAGCUAGUUUUCAUCAUAAUUGGCCAUGACCGGUGACAAUCAUUCUCACAUAUCCAAUCCUGUGCCGGUCAAAUUUACAUGCAUGCAGACAGUAACCGACACAGCCGCAGCCAGUCUGCACAGGGUGUUUUAUUUUGAAAAUUGACCGAAUUCUCUAUGCCAUCCUGUGUCUGACUUCCUACCAGGUUCGAUCUGCUCUGUGCUUGACGUGACUUCCGUCAAAAAUAGACUUGCCAUGUAUUCUCCGCACAGCGGAGAGCUGCUGCUGGGACACGCUGUGACUCGUCUGUUUCAGGUAGCUCAACAUGUUCUGGACUCGCUGGAAAAGGAAGUAUCUACUGGAGCUGAGAUCAGCCCACACCAGAGAGCCCACAAUACCACAGAUGUUCUUGUAACCCAUCCACCAGUGAAGUCAGAAUUUCAUCAGAGAAACCUGUAAGACAUUACUGAGGAGACCCCGGGGAAGACCUAGGGCACGAUGGAGGGACUAUGUAUCCCGGCUGGCCUGGGAACGCCUCGGUGUCCCCCCAGAAGAGCUAGAGGAAGUGUCUAGGGAGUGGGAAGUCUGGGCAUCUCUGCUUAGACUGCUGCCCCCGCGACCCGGCCCCGGAUAAGCGGAAGAAGAUGAAUGAACAUUACUGAGUGUUUGGUUGUGUGACUAAGCGUGGUGCAAGAUUCAAAAGCAAACACUCCCACAGCAACUCCAGAGUAUACAAAUGUUGAAGGCAAAGAAGACAUCCCUGGGCCAGUUAUUUUUUUAAAACAAGUGAUUGUGCAAAUGAGGCCAGCAAGAUCACAGAAAUGAAUCAGUCUCCUGCUCCUCCUUAUUUAAUUUGACGGGUUUGGAAUGCAGAGAAAUACAUUUAAUAAAAGGCUAAUGUCUUAAUAUAAUUGAUCUUCACAAAACGCAACCGCAUAGCAAUGACAAUUAUGUUUCCCUGCGCAUCAUGACGUUUCACCUCUCGCUCUGCUGCAAAUAUUAUAGUCAAGUUAUUUGAAAUAACCUUCCUUACAUAGCAAACAUUUUUUCUACUUUAAUAUGCAAUGGGACAACAUAUUUAAAUCCAUACAUUUUAAUGGGCAUUAUCUAAUUAGGAAAUAUGGUUGGAAAUGACAAAAUUCUACUUACAAUAUUAGUCAAAAUAUUUUACACAGGUGUGAGUGUUUUUUUGUCGAUCAGAGUUGAUGGGACAAAUAAGUGACUGAAAUAUGUAUCUUAAUGUUGCGAAAUUAGGCUACAUUAUAGUGCAUUCCAAAACAAUUCUAAACUAGGUUUAAACAAUUAUAAACUAGGAAAUUAUAAAGCAAACGAGUUUCAGUAAAUUAUCUGUGCCUAUAACUUUACACAGAGCCUUUCAAACGCUCGAAUACAUGCAUGGGCUAGACAGCCUAUGGAAACUAGUGUUAAACCGAUUAUCGGUCUGGCCGAUAAUCUGCAGCAAUUUUUGCCUUUUACUAAUUUAGCUGUUAUUGGCUCUUGGCUAUCGACCAAGCCAAUAAUCCCUUUCAUGUAGUUGAUCAAAAUGUCCUGAUGGUGCGCAGAUCUAAAAGCUCCUGCCAGCCACUGCUAAAGGCUUUAUCUUUCAUUAAAAUAAAUAUUCUGCAGUGUGAAUUUUUCAGUGAUCCUAAGAACAAUCAAGCAAGGUAAAGUAUUUACCUAUUUGAGUCUUUGGACUAUUACAUAGCACUGUGGUUUUGAUGCUUAGUUUAAUUGAAUACUAAAGUUUACUGCUUUUCAACCAAAAUCUAUUUAAUUUAAAGUAGGUUUUGUGUCUGUGUCGUAUUUAGCAUUUUUCUGGUGCAAAUUUGAUUAAAAUUAAAAGAUGGGGAAUAUCGGCAUCAGCCUUAAUAAAAAAACUAUAUUUGUCUUGACGGCAUCCCUUACUUCCGGGGUCCACCACCGGGUUCGGGGAUUGCCGCCUCGACAGACACCGGAGACCUUACGGCCACAGCUCCGAGCGGCCGCUUCGACAAUGGCGGUGGAGAACAUGGUCCACUCGGACUCAAUAUCUCCAGCCUCCCUCGGGAUCCAGUCGAAGCUCUGCCGGAGGUGGGAGUUAAAGAUCUCUCUGACAGGAGACUCGGCCAGACGUUCCCAGCAGACCCUUACAGUACGCUUGGGCCUGCCGAGUCUGUCCAGCUUCCUCCCCCGCCAUCGGAUCCAACUCACAACCAGGUGGUGAUCAGUUGACAGCUCCGCCCCUCUCUUCACCCGA
This is a long non-coding RNA of Esox lucius (northern pike), 6492 nucleotides long. The record is from Ensembl. NCBI's taxonomy places the organism in Eukaryota, Metazoa, Chordata, Actinopteri, Esociformes, Esocidae.